This 242-nucleotide unclassified non-coding RNA is filed under the name Hevea brasiliensis (rubber tree). Lineage: Eukaryota; Viridiplantae; Streptophyta; Magnoliopsida; Malpighiales; Euphorbiaceae. The record is from RNAcentral.
GACUUCAAAUGGUCAAAUUUAAUAUACCACACACAUUUUGUAUAUUCAUGAUAGAAAAAUAUGCUUCAUGUCAGGCAUAAAACUAGAAUUAUGCAUAAAGGGAACUGCAACAAAAGUCCUUCUGUUUUGUACAUAAACACCUAUAUUCACACUUGCAACACUUAACUCCAAAUCAUAAAUAAAUACACUAAAUUACAAAACUCAAAGCCUAAAACUAGCAAGAAAAAAAUGAAAAAGAUCAG